This is a long non-coding RNA of Oncorhynchus keta (chum salmon), 497 nucleotides long. RefSeq lists it as uncharacterized. The transcript has 3 exons. The record is from RefSeq and is a predicted model, not a curated record. Lineage: Eukaryota; Metazoa; Chordata; Actinopteri; Salmoniformes; Salmonidae.
GAUCUAGUCAGCCUCUCCAGGAGGUUGAAGAGUUCAGGGGGAUCUAGUCAGCCUCUCCAGGAGGUUGAAGAGUUCAGGGGGAUCUAGUCAGCCUCUCCAGGAGGUUGAAGAGUUCAGGGGGAUCUAGUCAGCCUCUCCAGGAGGUUGAAGAGUUCAGGGGGAUCUAGUCAGCCUCUCCAGGAGGUUGAAGAGUUCAGGGGGAUCUAGUCAGCCUCUCCAGGAGGUUGAAGAGUUCAGGGGGAUCUAGUCAGCCUCUCCAGGAGGUUGUAGGAUGGAUUCAACAGUUGGACUGUGUGUGUUUGGAUAUUAAGGAAGGAGCCUGGUGUUUCUCUCUCAAUCCCUACUCCUCUCUCUCUAUCUCUCCUCUCUAUCCCUCCUUCUCUCUCUCUCUAUCCCUCCUCUCUCUCUCUCUAACCCUCCUUCUCUCUCUCUCUAUCCCUCUCUCUCUAUCCCUCCUCUCUAUCCCUCCUCUCUCUCUAACCCUCCUUCUCUCUCUC